Molecule: long non-coding RNA, 671 nt
Organism: Archocentrus centrarchus (flier cichlid)
Lineage: Eukaryota; Metazoa; Chordata; Actinopteri; Cichliformes; Cichlidae
Exons: 3
Source: RefSeq, a predicted model, not a curated record
GAGCCAUGACUGAGCAGUUACACUCAGAGGUUAGCACCUUUUCUGCCCUCUCUGUGGGAUAAACGACAUUACUACACGAUGGUACAUCAUCCUGCCCCAGGGUUUACUCCAGUUUUGUGUCAACCUUGCAACAACUAGUUAUGUCACCAUGAUAAGUGGCAGUAGACAGACGGGAAACGCAGCAGAGAGAGGGGAUGAUCUGCAGCAAAAGGCCCAAACUGGAAUCGAACCUUGGCCAGCGUGACAUGUGGUGCAUGUACUACCAGGAGGAUGUUAGUCCUGUCAGUCCUCUCUUCUGACCUGCCAGUGGUUCAGAUGGACUUAAUCAACUACUUUGCUGUCCUACCAGUCUACCUGUCUGAUCAGAAACCAGUCUUGUCAAGGAUAAAUAGAGGUAAGUGGUUGCACAGUUCAGUGUGUGUUGAUUUAAUCAACAGAAUGCUUUAGAUGAAUCUGCUUUUGUAAGCACUGUGUAGCCAUUUCAUGUUCAAUUUCUGUAUUUGUUGAUGUUUAGAACUGCAGAAAUCCAGGACCUAAAUGAUAUGAUUAACAUCUUGCCAGCGUCAGCCCUUUGGGUCCAGUUGUCCUGGACCUUUUCAAUAUUUGACAAAUUUUCUAUCACCUAACAAAUUAUUGUUAUUUUAUUCCUUAAUGGAGACUUAGCUGGGACC